This 1636-nucleotide long non-coding RNA is filed under the name Lonchura striata (white-rumped munia). RNAcentral describes it as "domestica (Bengalese finch) lncRNA (ENSLSDG00000016329.1)". The record is from RNAcentral. Lineage: Eukaryota; Metazoa; Chordata; Aves; Passeriformes; Estrildidae.
CGCACCCACCCCGGGCCACGGGGAGCCCCAGCAUCGUGCUGGGGGCGCAGAGGGAUUUUCUUCACUUAGAUGGGUGCUCAGAGUGAGAUUUUCAUGCUGAGCCUGGCCCAGCUCCUCAUUCUCCGGGCAUGAAGCCCCCGCAGAGCCACAGGAGCAUCCCCGGACGCUCUCCCGGGACGUCCCCGUGGGCUCCAAGGCCGAGGGGUGAAGCAGCCCCACCCUGGGCCAUGGCUCCCCUCCUCCCCACGGCUCUUUCCAAGCAUUUGUGGCAAAUGUGAUGCUGGAGAAGUUGGGAUCGUGGUGGCCCAGCUGCUGCUCCCUCCUCCGGGUCGGGUCCUCCUUCUCCCCCGUCCUUUGCUCCCCGUAGCUCAGUUAGGCAGGUAGGUGUUAGCAAACUCUGGGCUGUCUGCAAAAACUUCUGUAAAAUAGAAUAGACCCUUUAAAUGAUGCACUAAAAUGAAAAAAAAAUCAUAAAUGCCCCCCCCCGUCAGCUUCUCUGUGUGAUGGUUCCUUGGAUGUCCCCGCUCAGCCCAUCUGUACCGCACAGGCAGCUCUGCAUCCUCCCCCCGGCUGCUGCACAGGUAGAAACAAAACAGGACGUGCAUGUCCCCCGAGGAGUUUUAUUUAUUGUUUUGAGAAGCAAUUGAAAAGGGAAAAACAACAACAAAAAAAGGAGAAACUGUAUCUAUAAUAUAUAUAUAUAUAUAUAUUUUUUUUUUUUUUUUUAAUCUCUUUUUUUUUUUUUCCUGAUGCUCCUCCACCCGUGUGUGUGGGUGUGUGUGUGUGUGCGAGUCAAGGGAUUCGGUGCCCAGGGCUGGCAGCUGUGGGGCAGAUGUGGGGCAGAUGUGGGGCAGAUGUGGGGCAGCUGUGGGCAGCUGUGGGGCAUCUCGGGGCAGCUCGGGGCAGCUGUGGGGCAGCUCGGGGCAGAUGUGGGGCAGAUGUGGCAGCUCGGGGCAGCUGUGGGGCAGCUGUGGGGCAGGGGUGGCUGUGGGGCAGCUGUGGGGCAGGGGUGGCUGUGGGGCAGCCCCAAAUCUCCCCCUGCCUUGCCCCAGGGGCAGCCCAUGCAGCUCGGGGCAGCUGUGGGCAGAUGUGGCAGCUCGGGGCAGCCGCCCUCGGCCCCGCCGGAGCACAGGGACCGGGGCUCCCCUCCCGUCCCAGCUCCCCGCGCCCAGCCGCAGCAGAGCGAGGGGAGGGAGGUUCGUGUCGAGUUUGUGAUGUUUUUUCCGGGAUCUUUGCCCAGUUCCACCUUUCUCUGAAGUGUUUUCAACCCUCGGGGUCUGGCCUGACCGAGAACCUCCCGCGCCCUGGGGGCGUCACCCCCACCCCCGUCCCGUUCCCUCCCUACUUUGCUCCCUUGACAAUCAGUGGCUCCUUCCCAGGGACUGCAGCACGUGGUUGAGACGUCUAUUUCGUUUUUUCAAUAUUCCUUUUUUUGUGCUGUAUGGUGAUGCGUUAUUGUAUAUUCCACAAUAAGACAAAAAAAAUAUAUAAAAAAAUGAUAAUAAUAAUAAUUACCAUGAGAAAUUCUUAUGAGUUUUGUUUGGAAACUCUUUCACUAUAUUUGUUGUAAAGAGGUUUACUAUUAAAAAGAAAAAAAAAAAAUACACGUUUCUGAUAAUUUUCCACGCCUCUGGCU